This 592-nucleotide ribosomal RNA is filed under the name Aspergillus xerophilus. RNAcentral's name for it is "eukaryotic LSU rRNA". The stretch from base 201 to 354 matches the Rfam family "5.8S ribosomal RNA". The record is from RNAcentral. Lineage: Eukaryota; Fungi; Ascomycota; Eurotiomycetes; Eurotiales; Aspergillaceae.
UCCGUAGGUGAACCUGCGGAAGGAUCAUUACCGAGUGCGGGCCCUCUGGGUCCAACCUCCCAUCCGUGUCUAUUGUACCCUGUUGCUUCGGCGUGGCCGGCUUUCCCCCCCGGGGGGAGCCACCAGUGCCCGCCGGAGACUCCAACAUCUGAACACUGUCUGAAGAUUGCAGUCUGAGUUUAUAGUUAAACAAUCGUUAAAACUUUCAACAACGGAUCUCUUGGUUCCGGCAUCGAUGAAGAACGCAGCGAAAUGCGAUAACUAAUGUGAAUUGCAGAAUUCAGUGAAUCAUCGAGUCUUUGAACGCACAUUGCGCCCCCUGGUAUUCCGGGGGGCAUGCCUGUCCGAGCGUCAUUGCUGCCCUCAAGCACGGCUUGUGUGUUGGGCCACCGUCCCGGGAACUUCUGGUCCCUGGGACGGGCCCGAAAGGCAGCGGCGGCACCGUGUCUGGUCCUCGAGCGUAUGGGGCUUUGUCACCCGCUCCCGUAGGUCCAGCCGGCGGCCAGCCUCGCAACCAACCAUUCUUUAACCAGGUUGACCUCGGAUCAGGUAGGGAUACCCGCUGAACUUAAGCAUAUCAAUAAGCGGAGGA